UACGGAGGGUGCGAGCGUUGUCCGGAAUCACUGGGCGUAAAGGGCGCGUAGGCGGCGCAGGAAGUCAACGGUGAAAGUUCGGGGCUCAACCCUGAAUCGGCCGUCGAUACUGCUGGGCUCGAGCACUGUAGAGGCAGAUGGAAUUCCGGGUGUAGCGGUGGAAUGCGUAGAGAUCCGGAAGAACACCGGUGGCGAAGGCGGUCUGCUGGGCAGUUGCUGACACUGAGGCGCGACAGCGUGGGGAGCAAACAGG
RNAcentral lists this ribosomal RNA (253 nucleotides) under uncultured bacterium. Its description in RNAcentral is "partial 16S ribosomal RNA". It matches the Rfam family "Bacterial small subunit ribosomal RNA", at positions 524 to 776 of the family's 1533-position model. The record is from RNAcentral.